AAGGUUUUUUAUGUUCCUGUUUCUUUAUAGUGAAU
This 35-nucleotide small RNA is filed under the name Arabidopsis thaliana (thale cress). RNAcentral describes it as "ATSL090640". The record is from RNAcentral. Lineage: Eukaryota; Viridiplantae; Streptophyta; Magnoliopsida; Brassicales; Brassicaceae.